Long non-coding RNA from Anolis carolinensis (green anole), 2733 nucleotides. RefSeq lists it as uncharacterized. The record is from RefSeq and is a predicted model, not a curated record. The transcript has 4 exons. Lineage: Eukaryota; Metazoa; Chordata; Lepidosauria; Squamata; Anolidae.
GCGCCUGCGCGCCAGCCGGCCGGGAAGCGGUUGCCUAGCAACGGGAGCUGUGCGGGCCUAGUUGGAAUUGGGAAGCCUUUUCAUUCCUGUCAGAGAAGAACGAAGAAAAAUAACAUCACCAGCUUCAUAAGAAAUCUGCUACUAGGCCAGGAUAGAUUAGCACUAUGAAGCCAUGAAGUAAUAAUAAUAAUAAUAAUAAUAAUAAUAAAGACUACAAACAGAGGCACAACUUUGUGGCCCAAAGGACUUAUGCCUCAAGUACCACCUGCCAGCAGCAAAGAACUGGUGGGAUCACAAACCUGCAAACGUAUUGGGAAAUGAGCACGCAAAGAUACUGUGGGACUUCCGAAUCCAGACUGACAAAGUUCUGGAACACAACACACCAGACAUCACAGUUGUGGAAAAGAAAAAAGUUGGGAUCCUUGAUGUCGCCAUCCCAGGUGAAAAACAACAGGAAAAACUCAGCCGCUCUCAGAACCUCAAGAUUGAACUUCAAAGACUCUGGCAGAAACCAGUGCAGGUGGUCCCGGUGGUGAUGGGCACACUGGGUACCGUGCCAAAAGAUCUCAGCUGUCAUUUGGAAACAAUAGACAUUGACAAAAUUACGAUCUGCCAACUGCAAAAGGCCACCCGACUGGGAUCUGCACGCAUCAUCCGAAAAUACAUCACACAGUCCUAAACGCUUGGGAAGUGUUCGACUUGUGGUUUUGUGAUAUGAAAUCCAGCAUGUCUAUCUUGUUUGCUGUGUCAUAAUAAUAAUAAUAAUAAUAAUAAUAAUAAUAAUAAUAAUAAUAAUAAUAAUGAAGUUUGCAAAGUCAGUCAGGGAGCGUCUCUGCAUAGAGGUGGCCUGGCCUCUGUUGCCUGGAGGCACCCUCUCCUUGGGAGGAGUUGUUCACUGGCCCUUGAUUGAUUGCUGUCAAACAGAGUGGGUCUGUUGAUACUAAAAGACAGAGGAAGGGGAGACCAAACUGCCAAUAUCUGCUCGAUAAUGGAGGAAGGCAAUAGGAUAAAAAGAACGAGAGAUCUCUAACUGAAAAUUAGAAGCAUCGGAGGCAAAAAUGGGCAAGAUCAAAAACAAACCUAACAGAAGCUGAAGAGAUCGAGAGAAAGCGGCGAGAAUAUAAAGAAGAGGUCUAUACAAGACUUUCUCAGCCUUCAGAAAGGAAUGAGGAAGUACUCCGUGAAGGACUCGGUGUCACAAGUGGACGGUGAAGCAGCAGCUCCUCCUGUGGCCGGAAGCGAACAUACCCUCAUGAAGCCGCUAAACAUGCACAGAUCUUUAAGCCACUCCUCGUGGGGAUUGUUCUCCAGACGCUCGAUCCUUUGAGUCUCCGUCCUCUGGACACAUUUCAGCUUAGUCAACAUCUCCCUUCAAUGGCGGUGCCCAGAUGACUUCUACUCCAGCUGCUUUUUAAGCAUCGCCUCACGUCGGAGUGAAAAAGAUGGAUGGCGGCGAAAUUAAAUGCAGAGUUUAACUGAGAAAUAAUCAUUUCCGAUGAAAGCUAAUGACUUCUCUGGAGGCCGCCGACCGAGAUUUAUUGACCCAAGAGGUUAAUAUCGAUCAAAGCCGCAGCAAAAGAAAAUAUGAGGCCUUGGAAGGGAGGAUCAUUUCGAUAUUGAGGCCUUGCCACUGACAGAGCAGAGCCGUAUAUCUGGACAUUAAACGCAGAAGGUAUUGAAUAAUGUGUCGACUGUCUUCCAUUCCCACAGGUUUUAUGUCUCUCUUUCAUUUUAUUAUAGCAAUGUCCUUGUUUUGGGUGCGUCCACACUUGGAAUUAAUGCAGUUUGACGUCACUUUAACUGCCCUGGGUCGAUGCCAUGGAACCCUGGGAGUUGUAGAUGCGUAAGGUUUUGAGGCAACCAAAUGUGGUGCGAAACUGCAUUACUUUUACAGUGUAGACGUACCUUUAAUGGCAGCUUUGGGCUUCUAUUCUGAAAAAAUGUGGGGUAUAAAUUAAUAAUAAAAAUGUUAAAUAAUAAUAAUAAUAAUAAUAAUAAUAAUAAUAAUAAUAAUAAUUGGGUGUGUUUCCAAUGGCCACUCUGGGUGUCUGUCCUGAGAAAAGUUGGGGUAAUAAUAAUAAUAAUAAUAAUGUUACAUAACAACAAUAACAACUCAAAUGGGUGUUUUUCCAAUGGCUGCUUUGGGUCUCUGUCCUGAGAAAAGUUGGGGUAAUAAUAAUAAUAUUAUAUAAUAAUAAUAAUAGUAACAACAAUAGUAACAACAACAACUCAAAUGGGUGUUUUUCCAAUGGCUGCUUUGGGCCUCUGUCCUGAGAAAAGUUGGGGUACUAAUAAUAAUAUUAUAUAAUAAUAAUAAUAAUAAUAAUAAUAAUAAUAAUAACAACAACAACAACAGCUCAAAUGGGUGUUUUUCUAAUGGCUGCUUUGGGUCUCUGUCCUGAGGAAAAUUGGGGUAAUAAUAAUAAUUAUAAUAAUAAUAAUAACAGCAACAACUCAAAUGGGUGUGUUUCCAAUGGUUGCUUUGGGCCUCUGUCCUGAGAAAUGUUGGGGUAAUAAUAAUAAUAUUAUAUAAUAAUAAUAAUAAUAAUAAUAAUAAUAAUAACAGCAACAACUCAAAUUGGUGUUUUUCCAGUGGCUGCUUUGGGUCUCUGUCCUGAGAAAAGUUGGGGUACUAAUAAUAAUAUUAAUAGUUACAUGGUGAUGAUGAUGAUGAUGUCACAUAAGAAGAAGAAGAACAACAACAACAACAACAAUGUUACUUGAUGAUGAUGA